This 484-nucleotide ribosomal RNA is filed under the name uncultured bacterium. RNAcentral's name for it is "partial 16S ribosomal RNA". It matches the Rfam family "Bacterial small subunit ribosomal RNA", at positions 29 to 507 of the family's 1533-position model. The record is from RNAcentral.
AUUGAACGCUGGCGGCAUGCUUUACACAUGCAAGUCGAACGGCAGCGCGGGCUUCGGCCUGGCGGCGAGUGGCGAACGGGUGAGUAAUGCAUCGGAACGUGCCCAGUAGUGGGGGAUAGCCCAGCGAAAGCCGGAUUAAUACCGCAUACGACCUGAGGGUGAAAGCGGGGGACCGAAAGGCCUCGCGCUAUUUGAGCGGCCGAUGUCGGAUUAGCUAGUUGGUGGGGUAAAGGCUUACCAAGGCGACGAUCCGUAGCUGGUCUGAGAGGACGACCAGCCACACUGGGACUGAGACACGGCCCAGACUCCUACGGGAGGCAGCAGUGGGGAAUUUUGGACAAUGGGGGCAACCCUGAUCCAGCCAUGCCGCGUGCGGGAAGAAGGCCUUCGGGUUGUAAACCGCUUUUGUUCGGGAAGAAAUCCUCUGGGCUAAUACCCCGGGGGGAUGACGGUACCGGAAGAAUAAGCACCGGCUAACUACGUG